This 278-nucleotide ribosomal RNA is filed under the name Phenacoccus parvus. RNAcentral describes it as "partial 28S ribosomal RNA". The record is from RNAcentral. Lineage: Eukaryota; Metazoa; Arthropoda; Insecta; Hemiptera; Pseudococcidae.
AAACCGUUCGGGGGUAAACGGACAGAGCCCGUGAAUCCGGGCGGCGGAAUUCAGAGUCGAUGGCGGCACGUCGUCGGUUCGAUAUUUCCGUCGCCGAACGGACGUCGCGACCCGUUUGGUGUUGGUCUCAGGAGACGUGUUUACGUUCGUUGACGCGUCGGUGGGCACGUGCGAGUCGUUCGUGUCCGGCCAGCUCGCCAGACGGUACGUUAAAGGUGGCCGUGACGGUCGAGCGCUGUUGGUACCGGUUUGCGACGAAUCUUCGGGCCUCUUUCCGA